GAACCUGUCAAAUUCUGAAGAUGGUGAGAAUCUUGCAGUUUUGUCAUCUGAAGUCCCAUCUGAAUCUGAGUCAGCUGAUUCAAAAGAGCUGGACCAAUCUAGUUCAGUGCAUAGUCCUGUUGGUGCCAUUGCUGAUUACCCACCCAUUUCACUUGCACCACAAUCAGAUAUUUCACACUCACCACAUGUUGACGCAUUAGUUCACGCUGACCCGCACACACGCACUACAGCUGACGGUCUUGUUAGAACGCGUGCAGGAAGAGUAGUGAAAUCAGUGAACAGACUAAUAGAAUCGAUGGUUCAGAAACCAUUUCUAAGGGGUUCAAACAUUUUGUUUGGUAGCCGGUUCUAGUCACUUGUUUUUGCAGAGAUGAGUUUUGAUAUAUAUAUAUGUGUAUUUUGGACUGUGUUAUGAGCAUUGAUACUUGCAAAUGUCUGUGAGACACAAUUUUUUUUGGGGGGGGGGCAAGUGUUGUGUGGCGUAUCAGGCGUCGCAUGGAGCUACGGGGAUUCAGAGACUUGAUCAACCUCUUUCUUCCCUGAACCUUGUAUGUGAGGUGGCUUCUAAGUUGACUGUAGACUAGGUCUUCCUUUUUUUUUUUUUUUUUUUCUCAUUUGGGCCAGAUGUGUCAGUAUCAGACGUAUUAUAUGUUCUUUGCAGUUCCGAGAUUCCAAUUAAUCAGGAUGUUGGUGAAUUUCAGGAGGGGAGAAUGUAACCAGGGUGAAAUUAUAUCUUUUCUUUUACGGUUGGAAUGUCACCAAAUCCUGAUGAACAUUGUUUUCUAUAUGUUUUAGAUGUGUUUUAUUACCAAGAUUUAUGCCUGUAUGUUGUAUUCAGACCAUAGUGUUAAUACCGGUACUGUCACUUUAAGAGGUCGCAGGCUUUGUGGCGUCAUUCGCGUGCCUUUUUCAGUCUGCGCCAGGCUAAUUGAGAGGAGGUAAUGCAUUAUCUUGCUCGUCAGUUUUAAACACUUAUUUUGGUUUUUGGACGAUGCAAACUUUGAUUUAUGCAUUUAUAAAUGUUAGUUUUGAGGUUGUGAGCAUGCAGUUCAUGUGUCAAUUGAUUUAUAAACUUUGUAAAUGGACCUUUUGCAAGCUUUAAAAUAGACGUUUCCACGUGCUAGUCUACAGGGUUUUCUGUAUGUUUAUCUGCUAACAGGAGAUUGAGAUCUGUAUGCUACGUGGAGGAGACUGCAUGUGACAGAGCCUUAUGUAUUUUUUUGUUCAUUUGUACAGACAAAUCUGCUGUUCCGUCGUCAUCAAAAGAGCAAACGGCAAUUGG
Molecule: long non-coding RNA, 1282 nt
Organism: Cyprinus carpio (common carp)
Lineage: Eukaryota; Metazoa; Chordata; Actinopteri; Cypriniformes; Cyprinidae
Exons: 2
Source: RefSeq, a predicted model, not a curated record